This 387-nucleotide ribosomal RNA is filed under the name marine Metazoa environmental sample. RNAcentral's name for it is "SSU rRNA". It matches the Rfam family "Eukaryotic small subunit ribosomal RNA", at positions 587 to 972 of the family's 1831-position model. Lineage: Eukaryota; Metazoa. The record is from RNAcentral.
AGCUCCAAUAGCGUAUAUUAAAGUUGUUGCAGUUAAAAAGCUCGUAGUUGGAUCUCAGGGGUAGACGGGCGGUCCGGCUCGCAGCCGGUUCACUGCCCGCUUUCUACCCUAACCCCUGUCGGCUCUCUCCUACGGGUGCUCUUCACUGAGCGUCCCAGGUGGCCGACGCGUUUAUUUUGAAAAAAUUAGAGUGUUCAAAACUCGACAGCCUGAAUAAUGGUGCAUAAAAUAAUGGAAUAGGACCUCGGCCCUAUUUUGUUGGUUUCCGGGACGGAGGUAAUGAUUAACAGGGACAAACGGGGGCAUUCGUAUUGCGGCGUUAGAGGUGAAAUUCUUGGAUCGCCGCUAGACGAGCUACUGCGAAAGCAUUUGUCAAGAAUGUUUUCA